GUUUUAUUAUCUAUUGUUUCCAUUGCUUUAAGUAAUUUUUAUCUUCUUUCAUGUGUGUGUAUGUGUGAAAGAAAAAGAGAAAGAGAGAAAAAGAGAUGAAGAUAAAGAAAGAGAGAAAUUGAAAAUGAGCAGGAAGAGAAGGAGAAUUGAUUCUUUGACUAUUGUACAUAGACUUCUGAAGUUACGUUAUGUGCAUCCGUGUAGAAAUUCCACUGUUCUUUUGGCUUUCCUGCCUACUAAGCUGGACACCUGUGAAUCGUCUGGAAACAUGUGGAUGAGGGCAACAUCCUAAAAAUGGCAGAGCAACUAGAAACAACCACCUUGGUCUCUGACACCAUGGAGUCAUUACACCAAUCCUGGCAUUCUGAGACCAACUUAGCUGUUGUUUCUCUUCGAUGAGUCUUCAACUUUAUACUUAAGAAUCAAGCAUUUCGCUGGAAUAUGUCUGCAUUAAGUCAUGAAAGAAGAGGGUUGACCAGUUAUUCUCCGAGGUCCUUUUCAGUGUCGCUCGUCAAGGACUGGUUGGCUUAUCACCUGAGUCUAAAAACGUACCUGGCACAUAGUGACUGCUCAGUAUGUAUCUGUUGAAUAAGUGCAUGCUGGUAUGCAACAAAAGAGCCAGCAAGAGAAAUGGCUACGUGUUGUAUCUCUGGGGAGAAAGACUGGUGAUGAGCGAGGAGGACAGGACCCUCCCCUCUCAUCUGAUACAAGUGUUUUUACUCUGUGUGUAUUACGUUUAUUAUAAACUGUUUUAAAGACAUUGUGGCUGGAUCCUGAUCUAAAAUAUAUCAGUAUCCUAUGCACAUUUAAUCUAUAUUUAAUUUUAUUUCUUCCACUUCAAUCUACUUUGCUUCUGAUCAUAAAUGGAAAUGAGCCAGCAGAAAGGAGAUGGCAUCUAUCCAUUCUGCAUCCAUGCGAGAGUUCAGUGUUCUGGAACCUGAAUGCCAUGAACCCUCACUAAUGACCAUAGAUAGGAACCUAGGAAAAUACUUUUAUAUGAAUUAAUUGAAAUGAUACAAAUUAAAAAUGUGGCUAAUGUGAAUGUGAAUGCAAAUACAAGUAGAUACAAUCAAUUUAGCUGAAUGCACCAGACCAUUCAUGUGGCCACAAUUCCUCAAGCCCCACUAACUUUAAAUAUUUUCUAUAUCUGGCCAG
Molecule: long non-coding RNA, 1155 nt
Filed under: Equus caballus (horse)
Lineage: Eukaryota; Metazoa; Chordata; Mammalia; Perissodactyla; Equidae
Description: lncRNA (ENSECAG00000056605.1)
Source: RNAcentral